GCAGUAGCCGCGGGAAUACGGAGGAUCCAAGCGUUAUCCGGAAUCAUUGGGUUUAAAGGGUCCGUAGGCGGUCUUGUAAGUCAGUGGUGAAAGCCCAUCGCUCAACGGUGGAACGGCCAUUGAUACUGCAGGACUUGAAUUAUUGGGAAGUAACUAGAAUAUGUAGUGUAGCGGUGAAAUGCUUAGAGAUUACAUGGAAUACCAAUUGCGAAGGCAGGUUACUACCAAUUGAUUGACGCUGAUGGACGAAAGCGUGGGUAGCGAACAGGAUUAGAUACCCGCGUAGUCCCUGUCUCUUAUAC
RNAcentral lists this ribosomal RNA (302 nucleotides) under uncultured bacterium. RNAcentral's name for it is "partial 16S ribosomal RNA". It matches the Rfam family "Bacterial small subunit ribosomal RNA", at positions 508 to 807 of the family's 1533-position model. The record is from RNAcentral.